Molecule: ribosomal RNA, 252 nt
Filed under: uncultured bacterium
Lineage: Bacteria
Description: partial 16S ribosomal RNA
Rfam family: Bacterial small subunit ribosomal RNA
Source: RNAcentral
UACGUAGGGGGCAAGCGUUGUCCGGAAUUAUUGGGCGUAAAGCGCGCGCAGGCGGUUGUUUAAGUCUGGUGUAUAAGUGCGGGGCUCAACCCCGUGAGGCACUGGAAACUGGGCAACUUGAGUGCAGAAGAGGAGAGCGGAAUUCCACGUGUAGCGGUGAAAUGCGUAGGGAUGUGGAGGAACACCAGUGGCGAAGGCGGCUCUCUGGACUGUAACUGACGCUGAGGCGCGAAAGCGUGGGGAGCAAACAGG